This is a non-coding RNA of Physcomitrium patens, 2280 nucleotides long. Lineage: Eukaryota; Viridiplantae; Streptophyta; Bryopsida; Funariales; Funariaceae. The record is from RefSeq and is a predicted model, not a curated record.
CUGAAAGUGGGGGGGGGGGUCUGCGGGUGCAAUCUCUCGAUAGACGGAUGACGUAUCCAUGACCGUCAAUGAGUCUGGUUGAAUCAGUCGUCUGAGUUUGUGCGGUGCGAUUAUUCUUAAUAAACCACGACACUGGUGGAACUUCGUUUAAAUUUCAUACGCAUCGUGAGCCGGAAUCGAAGUUCAUAAUCCAUCUGCGCGAACUAGAUUGAAAUCUAUGGAAGAUAGAACUCUAGAUAAUAAAAAAGAACAUGCAGAGCGACUCACCCUGUCGGCCUAGGCAGUUGUCUGAGCUUGUUUCAUUUCUGUGCAGGCUUUUUCCCACUCGUUCUAUAAUCUCCCACUGCAUCACGCUUUCGAGUAGCAUCUCUAGUAUCCCUGCAUGUUCUGCUAUCUUUAGAUCGGUAGGUCCUAUUUCAGAGGGUGGACUUCAAUCAUGCAGAACUCCCUGGUCCACAUGAAAUUGCUCCAGCUUUAGAUUACAGAGAUUUCUCCAGCCCAAUUUCUCCAAAAAUACACCUAUUUUUCCUUUCUGAUCCGAAGUGAAUUUUGUUUGGAACCUCUUCUUCAUGGUAGAUGGCGACCUGCCAAAAUCACCAUCUCCAUCUUCUGACUUUGCUAAUCUGGGUCCCAACAAGUAAUGCUAGAACUGAUUCACAGGACUGAUCAUUUGUGAUGGGGACGGAAGAGCUGAGAAUACUAGUCUGAGAAAGAAAUCCGGAAGCUGUCAUCCGGUUAUGGUUGGAACUUACAGGAGAGGCUUAGAGGAGAGGCUUCUCCAUCGCAUAUAUUCAACCUCUCCUACUGCUAUGGACAUCUUCAGUGCACCUUUUCCUCCUCUUGACAUCUUCGGUGCGUCCUACCUUCAUCCAUUGCAGAUUUGGCAUUGCAGCGAGUGCCUCGGAUUGCUACUGGAACCCUGAUGCUUGUAUUCCAGAGGUGCGUUGUCGUGAAUUUCAGAGCAUUUUCUUUGUCAUGAUUUGAUUGACGUUAGGAAUCAAAACCAGUUGUGCUAAUGGAACUUAUCUAUGGAGGUGGAUUGUGAGGAAAUGUAUGGUGGUUCGACUUUACUUUUGAUCAUUUUGGACUGAUUUAGUAAAACCACAUGUGCUUGAGUGGCUGGGAGGAAUAUCUGUGGUAGAUGCCAUCACUUAGCACUGUGACUUGUUAUGGUCGACUAAUAUUCCAUGCGAAUUCGUUCCAUCUUCCAAGGGAUUCGUUUCCUAAAAAUGAGAUCAGUUCUUGCGACUACGGUGGAAGAAAUGACGGGUAUAUCACAAUGGUUACGGAAUUCCCUUCACUGUACACUUUGAGUUGAGUUGCAUUGGCAUGUUGUGAAUAGAUUGAUGUGUUGCCACUCUAAGAAACUUCAGUGAAGAAACAUUGUGCAACAGUUUCAGGCUGUGUUUUGACAUUUUCUACUGUUUUUUUUUUUUUUUUCAACAAAACAAUCGUAUCAAUCGUGGAUACAAUGCCAGGGGAUUUCUCAAUAUCCUCUGAAUGACUGUUAUUGGCAAUGUGCUCUGAAUGUUGCUGCUUCCAAUUUAGACUAAAGCUCUCGCCCUUCAAAUCUGUUUACCAUAGUCGCUAGAAAUCACGGCCCCUCCAUACCCCUUCACUCCUUCACACAUGCCAACAAUCACUCCUAUUCUCAAUGUGCUUGGCUUGGCUUCUUCUACAGCUUCAAUUUUGCAAGAGAAGGUUACCUCAAGACUUCAAAUCUGGAUCGAGCUCACGGGAAGUCCACAUGAUAGUUGUCUCUUGUAGUCGCGUUGCUUAGUUUUAAUAGGUUUCAGGUGUGUCAAGGGAAAUGUACUUGGCCCAUUGUAUCUGGCUAGUAGAGUAGACCAAGCACUAGCUUCAGUGAAAGGAGUUGAAAGCACAUAGAGCCUUUUCAUUGCAAAAGGCGAUGACCUUGAACAGGAUGCAUAAUUCUCAUGUAACGCUAAUUUUUGGUGGAGAAAUAUGGUCGUUCUAGAGCCCGUCAGGUGUUUUGAAGGCCAAGUGACAAGGUAAAAAUCGAAAGUUUCUCACUGUGAAUGGUACGGCGACAUGGAUUCGUGCAUGUAGGCACAGCAUUGGACUGCAUGAGAACAAUUGAAGACCCAAUUUUGGACAUAGGGUGCAAGAUAUAAGGAUGCUAGUUGUUGACAAAUUGGCUUUGAAUUUGUUUGAUGUGGACAAAAUCGAGGAAUUGUCUCCGUGUAAUGUAUCUAGUGUGGUACUCGGGUAAAGUUCAAUUAAGGUUCAGUGGUUUGGACUGUUCAAUUGAGUUUGAAA